UACGUAGGGGGCAAGCGUUGUCCGGAAUCAUUGGGCGUAAAGAGCGCGUAGGCGGUCCGGUAAGUCCGCUCUGAAAGUCCGGGGCUCAACCCCGGGAGGCGGGCGGAUACUGUCGGGCUAGAGUCCGGAAGAGGCGAGUGGAAUUCCUGGUGUAGCGGUGGAAUGCGCAGAUAUCAGGAGGAACACCGGUGGCGAAGGCGGCUACCUGGACAGAAACUGACGCUGAGGCACGAAAGCUAGGGGAGCAAACAGG
Molecule: ribosomal RNA, 253 nt
Filed under: uncultured bacterium
Lineage: Bacteria
Description: partial 16S ribosomal RNA
Rfam family: Bacterial small subunit ribosomal RNA
Source: RNAcentral